Hydra vulgaris (swiftwater hydra) is the source of this 499-nucleotide non-coding RNA. The record is from RefSeq and is a predicted model, not a curated record. NCBI's taxonomy places the organism in Eukaryota, Metazoa, Cnidaria, Hydrozoa, Anthoathecata, Hydridae.
UUGCCCUUACGACUUAAUUUUUGCUUAUUAAUAUUAUUGUUAUUGUUAUUCAAAUUGUUUUUAUUUAUUAUUAUCAUAUCUUUUUUUUUUAGUGUCUGAAAAUUUUCAGAUAAAAAACAACUACAAAAAACGUACUGCGUAUUAAGAUCAUACAUUUGAGAUAACUAUUUAAGAUUGUUAUUUGUUAUGAAUUAAAAAAAAAGGUAUUCAUAAAAAUUUUACGUCAGAAGUUUCACAACUAAUACUAAAGAUAAAUUUAUCCAUCCUUGACCUAUUCACUAUCUUGACGAAAUUGCAGAAUGUUCAAUUGAGGAUGUUUAAGAAAAAAGAUGUUUAAGAAAAAGCAAAAAAAAGUCUAAAACAUGUCUAGUAUCGACUGGGAAGUUUUCAACGAAGGAUGUUGAUUUAGACAAUAUUUUCGUCAUAAGGAUUUACUAAUUAUUUACAAACAAUUUUACAAGUAAAUUUGAAAGUUUCAAAAUAACCAACAUUUGUUAAA